UACGUAGGGGGCAAGCGUUAUCCGGAAUUACUGGGUGUAAAGGGUGAGUAGGCGGCAUGGUAAGCCAGAUGUGAAAGCCUUGGGCUUAACCCGAGGAUUGCAUUUGGAACUAUCAAGCUAGAGUACAGGAGAGGAAAGCGGAAUUCCUAGUGUAGCGGUGAAAUGCGUAGAUAUUAGGAAGAACACCAGUGGCGAAGGCGGCUUUCUGGACUGAAACUGACGCUGAGGCACGAAAGCGUGGGGAGCGAAC
This 250-nucleotide ribosomal RNA is filed under the name uncultured prokaryote. RNAcentral's name for it is "partial 16S ribosomal RNA". It matches the Rfam family "Bacterial small subunit ribosomal RNA", at positions 524 to 773 of the family's 1533-position model. The record is from RNAcentral.